UUAAGUUCAGCGGGUAUCCCUACCUGAUCCGAGGUCAAAAUUGAAAGGUGGGCUUAUGGAUGCCGCUAUCCGCCGCGAGAGACGCAAGUCUGCUGCGCUCAAAGCCGCUGAAGUGGCUGCCAAUAGUUUUGAGGCGAGUCCGUGCCGACGGCAGGACAGACGCCCAACACCAAGCUGCGCUUGAAGGUGAAAAUGACGCU
RNAcentral lists this unclassified non-coding RNA (200 nucleotides) under Pleosporales sp. Its description in RNAcentral is "partial internal transcribed spacer 2". The record is from RNAcentral. Lineage: Eukaryota; Fungi; Ascomycota; Dothideomycetes; Pleosporales.